RNAcentral lists this ribosomal RNA (460 nucleotides) under uncultured bacterium. RNAcentral's name for it is "partial 16S ribosomal RNA". It matches the Rfam family "Bacterial small subunit ribosomal RNA", at positions 338 to 795 of the family's 1533-position model. The record is from RNAcentral.
CCUACGGGAGGCAGCAGUGAGGAAUAUUGGUCAAUGGACGAGAGUCUGAACCAGCCAAGUAGCGUGAAGGAUGACUGCCCUAUGGGUUGUAAACUUCUUUUAUAUGGGAAUAAAAUGUUCCACGUGUGGGAUUUUGUAUGUACCCUAUGAAUAAGGAUCGGAUAACUCCGUGCCAGCAGCCGCGGUAAUACGGAGGAUCCGUGCGUUAUCCGGAUUUAUUGGGUUUAAAGGGAGCAUCGGAGGAUUUGUAAGUCAGUUGUGAAAGUUGGCGGCUCAACCGUAAAAUUGCAGAUGAAACUGGCAGUCGUGAGUACAGUAGAGGUGAGCGGAAUUCGUGGUGUAGCGGUGAAAUGCGUAGAUAUCGCGAAGAACUCCGAUUGCGAAGGCAGCUCACUGGACUGCAACUGACACUGAGGCACGAAAGUGUGGGUAUCAAACAGGAUUAGAUACCCCUGUAGUC